AGUAACCCGGCUAUAGCCUUUAUAGAAUGCGCUGCAAAGCUCAAGAGGAAUCUGAAUGAGAAACUGAAAAAUCUCUGAGAUGGUUAUAUAAAGCUACACACAGAAAUGACUGAGAAACCAACAAUUGUUCCAAUGUCGAAAGACAUCGAGUUUGAUUUGUCCUUGGUCAUGGAUCCUGCUUCUCGAAGAGUAUAUGAGCAAAUAAAGAGGAAAAGACAUCACCAACAUGAAAAUAUUCCUCAUUUUUAUCGACAACGUGGUGGUAACCAACAAAUAAAUAAUCUGUAAGAUCAGGCACGUGCUAUUUUAGCACAGUUUGAUGAAAAUUGCGAUGAGGUAGAGCAGCAGCUUACACUUACAAACCAACAAGAAAACGCUGACAAUGAUAGUCAUACUUUCUCUUCUUGUGCGAAUGAGGAGCGACCAAUAGUUGAUGUAUCAUUAAAUUACACUAAUAAUGCUCAUGCUGAUGACGACAUAGUUGUGCCACCAAAGCGAUGAAGAACAAAUGUAUUAGAACCUCAACUAACAUGCGGUGCAAAAGGAGUUGAUAUCUCACAACCGAAGCAGAAUUCGUCCCCAGAAUUAUGAAAGGAAG
Nasonia vitripennis (jewel wasp) is the source of this 598-nucleotide long non-coding RNA. RefSeq lists it as uncharacterized. The record is from RefSeq and is a predicted model, not a curated record. Lineage: Eukaryota; Metazoa; Arthropoda; Insecta; Hymenoptera; Pteromalidae. The transcript is spliced from 4 exons.